RNAcentral lists this ribosomal RNA (483 nucleotides) under uncultured bacterium. RNAcentral's name for it is "partial 16S ribosomal RNA". It matches the Rfam family "Bacterial small subunit ribosomal RNA", at positions 30 to 506 of the family's 1533-position model. The record is from RNAcentral.
AUUGAACGCUGGCGGCAGGCCUAACACAUGCAAGUCGAGCGGAUGAAGGGAGCUUGCUCCUGGAUUCAGCGGCGGACGGGUGAGUAAUGCCUAGGAAUCUGCCUGGUAGUGGGGGAUAACGUCCGGAAACGGGCGCUAAUACCGCAUACGUCCUGAGGGAGAAAGUGGGGGAUCUUCGGACCUCACGCUAUCAGAUGAGCCUAGGUCGGAUUAGCUAGUUGGUGGGGUAAAGGCCUACCAAGGCGACGAUCCGUAACUGGUCUGAGAGGAUGAUCAGUCACACUGGGACUGAGACACGGUCCAGGGUCCUACGGGAGGCAGCGGUGGGGAAGGUUGGACAAUGGGGGAAAGCCUGAUCCAGCCAUGCCGCGUGGGUGAAGAAGGGCUGCGGAUUGUAAAGCACUUUAAGUUGGGAGGAAGGGCAGUAAGUUAAUCCCUUGCUGUUUUGACGUUACCAACAGAAUAGGCACCGGCUAACUUCGU